Molecule: transfer RNA, 72 nt
Filed under: Camelus bactrianus (Bactrian camel)
Lineage: Eukaryota; Metazoa; Chordata; Mammalia; Artiodactyla; Camelidae
Also listed under: 2 other names
Rfam family: tRNA
About the family: Transfer RNA (tRNA) molecules are approximately 80 nucleotides in length. Their secondary structure includes four short double-helical elements and three loops (D, anti-codon, and T loops).
Source: Rfam by way of RNAcentral
GAGGGUAUAGUUCAGAGGUAGAGCACAUGCUUAGCAUGCACGAGGUCCUGGGUUCAAUCCCCAGUACCUCCU